RNAcentral lists this microRNA precursor (157 nucleotides) under Glycine max (soybean). RNAcentral describes it as "miR10424a stem-loop (gma-MIR10424a)". The record is from miRBase by way of RNAcentral. Lineage: Eukaryota; Viridiplantae; Streptophyta; Magnoliopsida; Fabales; Fabaceae.
CAUUUUUUUUAGUCCUUGAUAAAGUAGAGAAUUUUAUGUUUACUUCCUAAUAAUUUUUUCAUUUGUUAUAGACUUUUGAAAAAGAUAAUAAAAAAUGACAAAAAAUUAUCAGGGAGCAAACAAAAAUUUUCUAAUUUAUUAGGGACUAAAACAAGUA